ACUUCCUAAGCCGGAACGAAAAGUGAAUCAGCUUAACGCUAUGAAACUUUUGGCUUUGUGGUUGUGAUGUUGUGUUUGCAAGUUGUCUGGGAAACCAGACCCUGUAGCUUAAGCUACUGUUUUUUUUUCACUUCCUGUACAUUUACCCUGUCUGUCCAUAGUGAUUUUUUAAUGCACCGCAGUUGCGGUGCUUUUUUUU
RNAcentral lists this non-coding RNA (199 nucleotides) under Photorhabdus luminescens. Its description in RNAcentral is "GcvB RNA". It matches the Rfam family "GcvB RNA". Rfam says of the family: The gcvB gene encodes a small untranslated RNA involved in expression of the dipeptide and oligopeptide transport systems in Escherichia coli. Included several unknown homologues in alignment (Bateman A pers obs). Lineage: Bacteria; Pseudomonadati; Pseudomonadota; Gammaproteobacteria; Enterobacterales; Morganellaceae. The record is from RNAcentral.